GAUGAACGCUGGCGGCGUGCCUAAUACAUGCAAGUCGAGCGAACAGACGAGGAGCUUGCUCCUCUGACGUUAGCGGCGGACGGGUGAGUAACACGUGGAUAACCUACCUAUAAGACUGGGAUAACUUCGGGAAACCGGAGCUAAUACCGGAUAAUAUAUUGAACCGCAUGGUUCAAUAGUGAAAGACGGUUUUGCUGUCACUUAUAGAUGGAUCCGCGCCGCAUUAGCUAGUUGGUAAGGUAACGGCUUACCAAGGCGACGAUGCGUAGCCGACCUGAGAGGGUGAUCGGCCACACUGGAACUGAGACACGGUCCAGACUCCUACGGGAGGCAGCAGCAGGGAAUCUUCCGCACUGGGCGAAAGCCUGCCGGAGCAACGCCGCGUGAGUGAUGAAGGUCUUCGGAUCGUAAAACUCUGUUAUUAGGGAAGAACAAAUGUGUAAGUAACUAUGCACGUCUUGACGGUACCUAAUCAGAAAGCAACGGCUAACUACGUG
This 497-nucleotide ribosomal RNA is filed under the name uncultured bacterium. RNAcentral describes it as "partial 16S ribosomal RNA". It matches the Rfam family "Bacterial small subunit ribosomal RNA", at positions 28 to 507 of the family's 1533-position model. The record is from RNAcentral.